This 358-nucleotide ribosomal RNA is filed under the name Conticribra weissflogii. Its description in RNAcentral is "partial Bacterial large subunit ribosomal RNA". It matches the Rfam family "Bacterial large subunit ribosomal RNA", at positions 1514 to 1855 of the family's 2925-position model. Lineage: Eukaryota; Bacillariophyta; Thalassiosirophyceae; Thalassiosirales; Thalassiosiraceae. The record is from RNAcentral.
UUGCGCAAAGGAGUGCACUCUAGGCAAAUCCGGAGUGAUUAUCUGAAGCGUGAUGACGAGUCUCUUUUGAGACGAAGUGGUUGAUACCAUGCUUCCAAGAAAAGUCCCUAAGCUUCAGGCAAAAGGAAUCCGUACCCCAAACCGACACAGGUGGGCGAGGAGAGUAUCCUAAGGCGUUUGAGAGAACUCGGGAGAAGGAACUCGGCAAAUUGGUACCGUAACUUCGGGAAAAGGUACGCCCCGGUAGCUUGACUGCUUUGCUGCAGAAGGGUGAAAGGGUUGCAAUAAAAUGGUGGCUGCGACUGUUUAAUAAAAACACAGCACUCUGCAAACACGAAAGUGGACGUAUAGGGUGUGA